This 449-nucleotide ribosomal RNA is filed under the name uncultured bacterium. RNAcentral's name for it is "partial 16S ribosomal RNA". It matches the Rfam family "Bacterial small subunit ribosomal RNA", at positions 29 to 523 of the family's 1533-position model. The record is from RNAcentral.
AACGAACGCUGGCGGCAUGCCUAACACAUGCAAGUCGAACGAAGGCUUCGGCCUUAGUGGCGCACGGGUGCGUAACGCGUGGGAAUCUGCCCUUGGGUCUGGGAUAACAGUGAGAAAUUACUGCUAAUACCGGAUGAUCGCGCGAGAUCAAAGAUUUAUCGCCCGAGGAUGAGCCCGCGUUGGCUUAGCUAGUUGGUGGGGUAAUGGCCGACCAAGGCGACGAUCCAUAUCUGGUCUGAGAGGAUAAUCAGCCACACUGGGACUGAGACACGACCAAGACUCCUACGGGAGGCAACAGUGGGGAAUAUUGGACAAUGGACGAAAGCCUGAUCCAGCAAUGCCGCGUGAGUGAUGAAGGCCUUAGGGUUGUAAAGCUCUUUUACCCGGGAAGAUAAUGACUGUACCGGGAGAAUAAGCUCCGGCUAACUCCGUGCCAGCCGCCGCAGUAA